This is a small nuclear RNA of Panthera pardus (leopard), 84 nucleotides long. Its record names the gene U4. It matches the Rfam family "U4 spliceosomal RNA". Rfam says of the family: U4 small nuclear RNA (U4 snRNA) is a component of the major U2-dependent spliceosome. The record is from Ensembl. Lineage: Eukaryota; Metazoa; Chordata; Mammalia; Carnivora; Felidae.
AGCUUUGCGCAGUGUGGCAUUAUCAUGGCCAAUGAGGUUUACCCAAGGUACGAUUAUUGCUAAUUGAAAAAAGUAAUAAUAAAG